AUACGGAGGAUGCAAGCGUUAUCCGGAUUCAUUGGGUUUAAAGGGUGCGUAGGCGGACUAUUAAGUCAGUGGUGAAAGCCUGCAGCUUAACUGCAGAACUGCCAUUGAUACUGAUAGUCUUGAGUUUGGUUAAGGUAGGCGGAAUGUGUAAUGUAGCGGUGAAAUGCUUAGAUAUUACACAGAACACCAAUUGCGUAAGCAGCUUACUGAGCCGACACUGACGCUGAGGCACGAAAGCGUGGGGAUCGAACAGGAUUAGGUACCCUGGUAGUCCACGCCGUAAACGAUGAUUACUCGCUGUUGGCGAUACACUGUCAGCGGCUAAGCAAAAGCAAUAAGUAAUCCACCUGGGGAGUACGGCCGCAAGGUUGAA
This 373-nucleotide ribosomal RNA is filed under the name uncultured bacterium. RNAcentral's name for it is "bacterial SSU rRNA". It matches the Rfam family "Bacterial small subunit ribosomal RNA", at positions 523 to 898 of the family's 1533-position model. The record is from RNAcentral.